AACGAACGUUAGCGGUGUGGAUUAGGCAUGCAAGUCGAGCGUGAAAGUCCGCAAGGACGAGUAAAGCGGCGAAAGGGUGAGUAACACGUAACCAAUCUAUCCACGAGACCGGAAUAACCGGCGGAAACGCUGGCUAAUGCCGGAUGGUCCUGUCGGGAGGCAUCUCCCGACACGUAAACGGUGGCGCAAGCUGCUGCUCGAGGAGGGGUUGCGGGCGUAUCAGCUAGUUGGUGGGGUAACGGCCUACCAAGGCGAUAGACGGCUAGCUGGUCUGAGAGGACGACCAGCCACACUGGGAC
Molecule: ribosomal RNA, 299 nt
Filed under: uncultured bacterium
Lineage: Bacteria
Description: partial 16S ribosomal RNA
Rfam family: Bacterial small subunit ribosomal RNA
Source: RNAcentral